Long non-coding RNA from Falco peregrinus (peregrine falcon), 431 nucleotides. RefSeq lists it as uncharacterized. NCBI's taxonomy places the organism in Eukaryota, Metazoa, Chordata, Aves, Falconiformes, Falconidae. The transcript is spliced from 3 exons. The record is from RefSeq and is a predicted model, not a curated record.
UUUCUGAGUUGCACCGUGAUAGUCACUGCUGAGAUCCCCAGGGAGGAGAAGAGCGACGAGGUGUGCACAGUAACACCUGAACCUUUCACAGCACUGCUGACCAGAGCCACAGCGCAAGCAGCCAGAUUGAACCGAGGGAAAGCCACAGGACUGCCCUUGCAGGUCAUCUCAUCCAAGACCUGGAUGGAGGCACUGAAACUCUCCUCCUCCUGCAGCUUGAAAGUCAUGAGCUCCUUAUCCCCCCUGGGGCUUCUGCAGAACCGGCAUGUUUGGCGUCAUGUACCCUUUCUCUCCUGGCAUCUAAAAAGAGUUACGGGAUGGUGACAAGGGUAUGGAGCAGCUUCUGCCCAAGGAAUUCUGAGAUGGCUUUUAACCAAGAACAUACAUUCACAAAAUAUGCCUGCAAACCACAAGUGGCAAAAUCUGAACCU